RNAcentral lists this ribosomal RNA (254 nucleotides) under uncultured bacterium. RNAcentral describes it as "partial 16S ribosomal RNA". It matches the Rfam family "Bacterial small subunit ribosomal RNA", at positions 524 to 776 of the family's 1533-position model. The record is from RNAcentral.
GACAGAGGGUGCAAACGUUGCUCGGAAUUACUGGGCGUAAAGGGCGUGUAGGCGGGAAGGCAAGUCGGGCGUGAAAGCCCCAGGCUCAACCUGGGGAACUGCACUCGAAACUGCCUUUCUUGAGUGCCGGAGAGGAAAGCGGAAUUCCUGGUGUAGAGGUGAAAUUCGUAGAUAUCAGGAGGAACACCAGUGGCGAAGGCGGCUUUCUGGACGGUAACUGACGCUGAGACGCGAAAGCGUGGGGAGCAAACAGG